AAGCAGAAAUGAGGAGGGGUCCAGUGUUUCUCACAGCAACGUACGAGGCUCCUCCCACUGACUGCACAUGUGGCUGCUUCACAGCUGGAUUGCAGCUGUGAUCAUCAGACCCACAACAACAGUGUGUCAACUCUGAACAUGGACACACUCGCUGCACUUCUGUUCGUUUCAGCUCUCGUAGGUAACAGCUUGGAAGAUGAUAUUACUGCCAUCAGAACUGAAGUGUUUUCAUCAGAGGGUCGUAGCGUUACUCUCUCCUGUAAAUACUCAGUUAAAGCUGAUAAUCUCCAGUGGUACCGACAGGAUGCUGGAUCAGCUCCUCAGUAUCUACUCCUGAUCACUGAUACGAAACAGCCUGAAGUGAUUCAAGCAAAGCCCUCAAACCCUCGACUGACUGCUAAACUGAACGACCAGAGAAAUCAAGUGGAUCUGGAGAUCUCCUCUGCUGCAGUGUCUGACUCUGCUGUGUACUACUGUGCUCUGCAGCCCACAGUGACAGGAAACACCUCAACUCUGUACAAAAACCUCUGGAGCAAAGACAACACAAUACUCCACAGCAUCCACCAGAGGGAGACACUGUGAGAAACUUUAGGAGUUCAGACCAGGAAUGUUCAAACAAUUAAAACGAGACUCAUUCUGUUAAGGUUCUGCCUGAAAAUGGCAGAGCGUGUUGAAAAUAUAUAUGUAUCCAUUUACAGAAACUGGUAAAAAUGUUUAAUAAAAGAAUGAAACAACCAAAAACACUCCCAUACACAAAAGACUAAAACACGGAGAACUGGGAGGAAAAAUACUAUUGGCAAGAAACUUUGGCUCACAGGACUAGAUGAGAGAACAGAACUAAAUAGUCGGCAUGGCACCUUUGACAUGGACGACAACAACUGACAGGAAAUUCAUCCA
This is a non-coding RNA of Betta splendens (Siamese fighting fish), 897 nucleotides long. The record is from the annotation of a RefSeq genome assembly. Lineage: Eukaryota; Metazoa; Chordata; Actinopteri; Anabantiformes; Osphronemidae.